CUUGUUGUGGAGUUUAAUGGCAA
This 23-nucleotide non-coding RNA is filed under the name Arabidopsis thaliana (thale cress). The record is from RNAcentral. Lineage: Eukaryota; Viridiplantae; Streptophyta; Magnoliopsida; Brassicales; Brassicaceae.